Molecule: ribosomal RNA, 367 nt
Filed under: uncultured bacterium
Lineage: Bacteria
Description: bacterial SSU rRNA
Rfam family: Bacterial small subunit ribosomal RNA
Source: RNAcentral
GGCCGCGGGAAGUGAUGUGAGGCCUAAGACAUGCAAGUCGAACGAGAUUAUAGGGUAAGCUUGCUUACCUUAUAUGACAGUGGCGCACGGGUGCGUAACGCGUAUGCAACCUACCUUUAUCAGGGGGAUAGCCUCUCGAAAGAGAGGUUAAUACGGCAUAAAAACACAGUACGGCAUCGUACAAUGUUCAAACAUUUAUGGGAUAAAGAUGGGCAUGCGUGACAUUAGCUAGUUGGUGAGGUAACGGCUCACCAAGGCAACGAUGUCUAGGGGAUCUGAGAGGAUGACCCCCCACACUGGUACUGAGACACGGACCAGACUCCUACGGGAGGCAGCAGUAAGGAAUAUUGGUCAAUGGACGCAAGUC